CAGUCGCCGCGGGAAUACGGAGGGUGCAAGCGUUAAUCGGAAUUACUGGGCGUAAAGCGCACGCAGGCGGUCUGUCAAGUCGGAUGUGAAAUCCCCGGGCUCAACCUGGGAACUGCAUUCGAUACUGGGAAGCUAGAGUAUGGGAGAGGAUGGUAGAAUUCCAGGUGUAGCGGUGAAAUGCGUAGAGAUCUGGAGGAAUACCGAUGGCGAAGGCAGCCAUCUGGCCUAAUACUGACGCUGAGGUACGAAAGCAUGGGGAGCAAACAGGAUUAGAUACCCCAGUAGUCCCUGUCUCUUAUAC
Molecule: ribosomal RNA, 301 nt
Filed under: uncultured bacterium
Lineage: Bacteria
Description: partial 16S ribosomal RNA
Rfam family: Bacterial small subunit ribosomal RNA
Source: RNAcentral